CUUCCAGUAGCACCUAAGAGACCAACUAAGUUUGUUAUUGGUAUGAGCUUUCGUGUGCAUGCACACUUCUUCUGUUCAUGCACAUGAAAGCUCAUACCAAUAACAAACUUAGCUGGUCUCUAAGGUGCUACUGGAAG
This is a non-coding RNA of Podarcis lilfordi (Lilford's wall lizard), 137 nucleotides long. Lineage: Eukaryota; Metazoa; Chordata; Lepidosauria; Squamata; Lacertidae. The record is from the annotation of a GenBank genome assembly.